Molecule: long non-coding RNA, 2511 nt
Organism: Balaenoptera ricei (Rice's whale)
Lineage: Eukaryota; Metazoa; Chordata; Mammalia; Artiodactyla; Balaenopteridae
Exons: 6
Source: RefSeq, a predicted model, not a curated record
GCUACCUCUGCUGAGCUGAAUGGAAGCAAAGUGUUCGAGCUUUAUUUUCAAAACCGAGAAAGGGGCCAUCAAAGUUUACCACCUGCCUAUGGGCCAAAUCCAGUUUACCACCUCUCUUUGUAAAUAAAGUUUUAUUGGAACACAGCCAUGCUCAUUUGUCUGGGACUGAUUUUGCUCCACAAUGACAGAGAUAAAGAAAGUGAUUAAGGACACAAUGAAUCCUGGCACAUACGUUAAAUGACUGUAGCAGACAUACAUGACAAAGGCUGAUAGAUACCCCAUCAUCCCUACAGAAAAGGAAGGCACACUGGACUGUUCCUUCCACUCAAUCUUUGUUGACUCUAAGAAAGGAGCAGACAAUCAACUGGCGUUAAGCCAUCAGUCAUCACUAUUCUCAGCUCAGCUGCCAAGAGAUGAAUGAGUUAGAUUCAACUGUCACUGAAGCCCUUCAAUAGACAUCAUCUCACUUAGAGGUCACAACAACCCUUUGAGUGAGUCAUCUUCAUGGGUCAUCUCUGUCUGCUCCCGCUGGAGGGACCACUGAAGUGGAGUCGGAGGACAGGACAGGAGAAGAGCCCAGUGUGACAGGCCAUGGCUAGUUGGAGUACGACACCUGGGGAGUGUCUGGAAACAUUUCAGACGUGCUGACGGCGAGCUUUCCUCUCUGUGCUGCCCAGCUUCAGCUCGGUUUCUGCUAAGAUCUCUCUGGAGGUUCACAGGGAGUGAAGGGCUCAUUGCCCUGCUCUGUGUUGUUUGUCCUUGGCUUUAAUUGCCACUUGUGUCCUGAGCUAUGUGGUAAUAGCACUAAUAGCUAACAUUUGUUGACUGCUUACGAUGUGCCACUGUGCGAAGAGAUUUACGCACAUUACCUCAUUGAUCUUGUUACAACCCUGUGAAGUUUUGCUAUCCUCGUUUCACAAAUGGGAAAACUGAGGUGUGGAAAGCUGUGACUUACCCACAGGGGUAUGUCUAAUCAGUGGCCCAGCUGGGAUUUGAACCCAAGUCUGUUCUCCACCAAAUCACUCAUUCUUAUCUGCCGUUCUAUACUGCCAGUAGGAUUAGGGUUUAGAUUCCUGAUAGUGAUCUGGAAGGAUUUCCAGCACUAUAAGUGACUCAAAUGGGAAGACUCAUCAGUUGCACAGACCAAAAGGUUGGGCUCCCAUCAGGUGUGGCUAAAUGAGAGGAAGCCAUCAGCUUUACGGAAGUGCAAAUGUGCCAGUGCAGUUACAAAUGAACGUCUCCAGUCAAAUCUGAGUCCUUUGUUUCGAGAUAAUCUGGCUCUCAUUGUAACCCCCAGCUUCAGGUAGCAAAUAUACGCUGAAUACUUUUCUGGAUGAGACCCCUGGAGGCUGUAGUUGUUGUUUAAGGCACCUGAGUUCCAUUACAGACUAUACAUGGUUUAACCUUACAUUUAAGUGUUUGAAUGUGUGUGAGAGAGAUGUCAAGGGGUCCAGGAGUUUUCUUCAUUAUCUGUCAGAAGGCUUCAGCCUAGUGGAGUCAGAUAGACAUGGGUUCGAAUCCUCACUCUGGUACAUGUAAGCCGCGAGAACUUUGGCAAAUUAUCGUUCUUCCAGUCUUAAUUUCUUCAUCUUUAAAGAGGCGGUAAUAGUACCUGCUUCAAGGUGGUGCUGUGAGGAUUAGAUCCUAUACAUACGCAGUGCUUGGAGCACAGUAAGUGCUCAAAAAUUGGUAGCAGGUAUUGUUCUCGGUGACCCUGCUUUGUCUAAGAAGAGGCACUGAUGGAUCGUUGGUGGCAUUAAGUCCCUGUCCUCUGCCGUGCUGGUGAUGUCCUAUUUGAAAAUGAAAAGGAAUUUUUUUUCUGAAUCUCCUCAGCAUCUUGCUGCCACAGGAAAAGAAAUCUGUUUCCACAAAGAGAUGCAAGAACUGGAGACACUGGAAGUUUACGGACUGGAGAAGGCGGAUCCGAGAAGAAAAGCAUUCUGGCGAUCAGUGACACUCUCCUGAGCCGCCCAGAUGUGGGCCAGAUGCUGCAACUCUGUAGAGACACGUCGGGCUCAGUGACUUGUGCCAUGACUUUCAUCCACGUGGCCAUGAAAGAUAGUGACUGAUCUCACUCCGAUUAUUAAGAGUGACUUCAGGGCUCUGGAAACAUGGGGGUAGGAGGCUGGGACUCGAGGGGGGAGUCUUGACAAUCCUCCCAGUUGAGCAGAAGGGUUUCUGGAGCUGACAGCCCUGCUCUGGGGAUACAUGUCUACUUCACAUGCCUCGCCCCACACCUAACAUAGAAGAGGGCUCAGCAGGAAACACUGAGGGCACUUCAAUGGGAAGUGAUCUGCGAUUUCUGCCUUUGCAGGAAUCAUCUCUAGCGACUUUUAUUUGGUGUUAUUAAAGACGAUUUUGAUGUGAUCUUAACUAUAGUGAUUCUUCCUAUCAUCACUUUCUCUUUAAUCAGCCUGUAUGGCCCCUUUUCUAGCUGGAAUUUCACUACACUGCUCAGCCUUCCAUUCCAUGCUUUUUAAAAAAUAUGAAUACUUUAUUUAUUUGUGUAAU